RNAcentral lists this ribosomal RNA (429 nucleotides) under Chloroflexota bacterium. RNAcentral describes it as "Chloroflexi bacterium partial 16S ribosomal RNA". It matches the Rfam family "Bacterial small subunit ribosomal RNA", at positions 355 to 776 of the family's 1533-position model. Lineage: Bacteria; Bacillati; Chloroflexota. The record is from RNAcentral.
UAGGGAAUCUUCGGCAAUGGACGAAAGUCUGACCGAGCAACGCCGCGUGAGUGAAGAAGGUUUUCGGAUCGUAAAACUCUGUUGUUAGAGAAGAACAAGGACGUUAGUAACUGAACGUCCCCUGACGGUAUCUAACCAGAAAGCCACGGCUAACUACGUGCCAGCAGCCGCGGUAAUUCGUAGGUGGCAAGCGUUGUCCGGAUUUAUUGGGCGUAAAGCGAGCGCAGGCGGUUUCUUAAGUCUGAUGUGAAAGCCCCCGGCUCAACCGGGGAGUGUCAUUGGAAACUGGGAGACUUGAGUGCAGAAGAGGAGAGUGAAAUUCCAUGUGUAGCGGUGAAAUGCGUAGAUAUAUGGAGGAACACCAGUGGCGAAGGCGGCUCUCUGGUCUGUAACUGACGCUGAGGCUCGAAAGCGAGGGGAGCAAACAGG